GAGCUGUGAUGAUUAUUGGCUUAAACGAUGGUUGGGUCCAUCGCAUUGUUCUGAUAACUCGGAUGUCAUUGCCAUGUUGCUGAGCUC
Brassica oleracea var. oleracea is the source of this 87-nucleotide small nucleolar RNA. It matches the Rfam family "small nucleolar RNA snoR114". Lineage: Eukaryota; Viridiplantae; Streptophyta; Magnoliopsida; Brassicales; Brassicaceae. The record is from Rfam.